GCGACGCCCUCCCCAACAACAGGGCGAUCUAAUUAAAUCCCGUCACGCGCUGCCCAUUUGCUGAGGCACACCUGCACCCUCAGCCCUAAUUAAUGCUGCUGCUCUUCAUACCUGUAUUGCCGUACAUAAGCUAGGCUAGCUCGACUCCUAGCAUGUCCAUGUUUCUUCAGGACACUUUUGUGGAGGAAUUAACCGUGUUUAAACAGUGCUGACAGCUGUUGCCCGUGUUCAGACUCCGUUUUUCGGUUGUUUCUCAGCUGUGAACCACAAAAACGCACUUCAUGGCGGAAGUGUAGUUCUCCUGUCCAUUUCAGUGACCAACUCUGUAAAAGUCCAUUCUUCUCACAGCGUUACUCCACCAAGAAAUGCGUGAAAUCUAAGGUUCAGUUUCAAGAGGCCACAACAGAAAACUAACCAUACUUCAAGAAGUGUGGAAAACAAGGAAUGCAGACAGUCUCAUGGAUUCAAAAGAAGCUUAAGCAGACUGUGCUGCUGGAUGGCCAUAGGUGGAGGCAGAGGUACUGAGUCAGCACCCUCCUCGCCCUCCUCCUCGCCGCAGCUCUGCAUGCCCGAAGAACUCGACUUGGACAACGUGCCGCUCGACAAGCCCUCGUUACGAACCCUCUGCGGCACACAUGGAUGGCACGGUAGAGAUUACAUCACAUGUCUGCUAAAUGGAGAGAGGGCAAACGUAAGUGUGUAGUAUUGUGUAUCCCCCCCACCUCCUCCACAGUCUCGUCCUGAGGCGUAGCGGCACUGUCGUCCAAGUCUUUGUGGGACCCCAUCGUCAUCUCCCCGCUCUUCCGCACGUCGCGGCUCUUCUUGUGCUUGUGGGCCAGCUUCUUCACAUGGCCGUCUGCCUUGCCACUGCUUAGCCGACGCACUGGACUGGUGAGCCACUUCCGCAGCGUGUUACCUUCAAAAUAUAUAGUGCAAUUAUUAAAAGCCACACCGUAGAACAACAGGAAGAGGUUAACCUUUUAUUUAAAUGAUCUACAUAGCAGUGUUGUAUUCCUCGAGAUCGUUCUCAAGACCACUUUUUAAAUGUCUCGGAAUCAACCGCAUUUUUACUCUGUCUCAUCUCGGUCUUAGAUAAAGAGGACUUUAUUUCAAGACCACAACUGCCUUUUGAUGGUUUUAUCAAGGCAUUUCUCAUAAAACACUUUUGGCAAUAAAAGUGGUGAAUGAAGAAGAAUCUUAA
Molecule: long non-coding RNA, 1201 nt
Organism: Perca flavescens (yellow perch)
Lineage: Eukaryota; Metazoa; Chordata; Actinopteri; Perciformes; Percidae
Exons: 3
Source: RefSeq, a predicted model, not a curated record